GGCGACAGCCAUUACUCUCGCAUCGGAGAAGCCGUCUGGCGUCUACAGUGCGACGUGGAGGCCAUUAACAAAGUAGGGCUCUGGCGUAAAAAAAGGGUGGAAAAACAAAACAGGCAUACGAUUUAUAUUGGCGAGUCUCUUCGGGUCUUAAUAUCCUCGUUAUCACCGCACGAUAUUUCUUCCGGGUAGGCGAUGUUUCCUUCAGACUGACAACCCUUCACUUGAGAGCUAAACAAAUUCGAAGAGGUCUCUUUAGCUGUGAGGUCUCGCGAGGGAGCGAGAACGUGCGGAGAUAAAUAAAUUGCGGGGGAAGAUGCCGAAAAGAGUCAUUAUUCAGUUUGAGGAGACAAAUACUGUAAUAAACAAGGAAACGUAGUCAUCGUGCGAUCAACUUGUGUGCAUGUUCGUAUGCCUGCAGCCAGAUGGCAUACAUAUACAAGCGCAUUUAGAGUCUCUAUAGUAUAAGUCUGGACACAGUUAGGAAUUUGACAAAACAUGACGAAAACGAUCAAGAAACAAUCGAGUCACGUUACGAGUAAGCAUCGCAAAGACAGAAAAUACAUAAAAUGUCUGGUUGCUGCAUACCGAAUUGUCACAAUUCAACAGAAAAAGGUUUUUCAAUGAGGAGUUUUCCAGCAGAUAUAGAACAAAGAGCA
Molecule: long non-coding RNA, 656 nt
Organism: Pseudomyrmex gracilis
Lineage: Eukaryota; Metazoa; Arthropoda; Insecta; Hymenoptera; Formicidae
Exons: 5
Source: RefSeq, a predicted model, not a curated record